CGUUAAGAAGCUAUGAAGCAGCGCUAGCCUUUUAAGCUAGAGAAAGAGGGCUAAUCCCUCCUUAAUGG
This 68-nucleotide transfer RNA is filed under the name Ficedula owstoni. RNAcentral describes it as "Ficedula narcissina owstoni tRNA-Lys". It matches the Rfam family "tRNA". From Rfam's summary of the family: Transfer RNA (tRNA) molecules are approximately 80 nucleotides in length. Their secondary structure includes four short double-helical elements and three loops (D, anti-codon, and T loops). The record is from RNAcentral. Lineage: Eukaryota; Metazoa; Chordata; Aves; Passeriformes; Muscicapidae.